This 76-nucleotide transfer RNA is filed under the name Clostridia bacterium. RNAcentral's name for it is "tRNA-Phe". It matches the Rfam family "tRNA". Rfam says of the family: Transfer RNA (tRNA) molecules are approximately 80 nucleotides in length. Their secondary structure includes four short double-helical elements and three loops (D, anti-codon, and T loops). Further hydrogen bonds mediate the characteristic L-shaped molecular structure. tRNAs have two regions of fundamental functional importance: the anti-codon, which is responsible for specific mRNA codon recognition, and the 3' end, to which the tRNAs corresponding amino acid is attached (by aminoacyl-tRNA synthetases). tRNAs cope with the degeneracy of the genetic code in two manners: having more than one tRNA (with a specific anti-codon) for a particular amino acid; and 'wobble' base-pairing, i.e. permitting non-standard base-pairing at the 3rd anti-codon position. RNAcentral also lists the same sequence under 7 other names. The record is from RNAcentral. Lineage: Bacteria; Bacillati; Bacillota; Clostridia.
GGCCAGGUAGCUCAGCUGGUAGAGCAGCGGACUGAAAAUCCGCGUGUCGGCGGUUCGAUUCCGUCCCUGGCCACCA